CAGAGGGGCAAGCGUUGUUCGGAAUUACUGGGCGUAAAGGGCGCGUAGGCGGCCUUCUAAGUCGAACGUGAAAUCCCUGGGCUCAACCCGGGAACUGCGUCCGAUACUGGAAGGCUUGAAUCCGGGAGAGGGAUGCGGAAUUCCAGGUGUAGCGGUGAAAUGCGUAGAUAUCUGGAGGAACACCGGUGGCGAAGGCGGCAUCCUGGACCGGUAUUGACGCUGAGGCGCGAAAGCCAGGGGAGCAAACGGGAUUAGAUACCCCGGUAGUCCUGGCCCUAAACGAUGAAUGCUUGGUGUGGCGGGUAUCGAUCCCUGCCGUGCCGAAGCUAACGCAUUAAGCAUUCCGCCUGGGGAGUACGGUCGCAAGGCUG
RNAcentral lists this ribosomal RNA (371 nucleotides) under uncultured organism. RNAcentral's name for it is "bacterial SSU rRNA". It matches the Rfam family "Bacterial small subunit ribosomal RNA", at positions 527 to 896 of the family's 1533-position model. The record is from RNAcentral.